This 1369-nucleotide long non-coding RNA is filed under the name Zonotrichia albicollis (white-throated sparrow). RNAcentral's name for it is "lncRNA (ENSZALG00000004892.1)". The record is from RNAcentral. Lineage: Eukaryota; Metazoa; Chordata; Aves; Passeriformes; Passerellidae.
AUGAAAUUUGAACCCCAAAGUGGGAGGGAAGUGGAGGUGGGGGGCACGGCUCUCUCCACAUGGUUAUUACUGCUGUUUUCCACCCAGCUGAAAGGAGAAUGUAGCUUAAUAUGGACCCGCAGGGAGGAGAAGCACUCGGGAGCGGGGAUUUGGCAGGAGGGAGCUGGGAAACAGCGAGAGGAACGUAGAGGUUUACUGACCCAUUUCCAUUCACACGGCUGCCAGUAUCUUAGCAACUGCAACAGUCCCCCAAGAACAGGCAUAUUGCCUGCUAUUAGUGACUGCUGCAACUGUGUCAAGGUUAGCUCUCUCCCUCCAAGCCCUGCCGGGUUUGUUUUUUGCCCAGAGCCAGCGCAGUCUGUUCGGUGACAUGUCCCCCGGCAGCCAUCCUGGGUGCUGGGUGCUCAUCUCUGNGCACAGGGGGUCAGGGAGCAGCAGCCGGGCCAGGGGAGAGGCUGGAGGGGCUUUGUGUGGGCUGCAACCCCCUCAUCUGCUCAAUGGGCCCCAGAGCCGUUCCAGCCCCCGGGCUCUGGGGGUGCAGCACUGACAGAGGGGAUCUGACAGAGACUGCUGGGGGCUCCCCCACCCACCCAGUGCUGCACCCGCUGUGUUUGUUCUUUCCCCACCAAAUCACCCCAUUGCUUUCCCUGCAGACUGGGAGCCUUGUUCUGGGUGUGGGGAUUUCUGUGCAAUGAGCCUUGCUCUGGGUGUGGGGAUUUCUGUGCAAUGACCCUUGUUCUGGGUACGGGGGUGCCCAUCAAAUGAGCCUUGUUCUGGGUGUUGGGGUGCCUGUCCAAUGAGCCUUGUUCUGGGUGUGGGGGUGCCCAUCCCGUGCCGCUGCCCUGUCCCUCCCUGCCCGCCUGCAGCAGGAUUUAUGCCAGAAAUCCCUCCAGCAUCCCUUUGAUCUCCAGCCUGGAGGGGUCAGAGGGCACAGGGAUCCUGCCGAGGGGCAGAGGGACAGGACUGCAGCUGGGGAGGGGGGGUCUGGCACCUGGGACCCCUCCUGGGCAGUGAACCUGGGGACAAGGGGCUGCCCUGCCCAGUGUCUGCCUGCCUGGGUGGGAGGUGCGAGCCUGUGCUCCCCCCAAAGUUGGGCCAUUUCUCUUUAGGCAUCAGCUAAUUGCCCUCUGUGCAAUCAGGGUGCUGGGGGGCGAUCCUUUCCCCAGAUGUGUCCCCCACACCUUCCAGCUGUGCCCGCCUGACACGGGGCCGGGUCCCCAUCAUUUUGGGCGGGUGCUCACGUGGCACCUUGGCUUGCACCCCGGGGUCCAGGCUUGGGGAUCCGGGGCUCCCAGUGUGCCCUGGCAAGGGACACUCAUGGUGCCCCAGGGUGGGGACAGGGGGGCAUUUCCCCCCCAGCAGAUGGCAG